UACGGGGGGGGCAAGCGUUGUUCGGAAUUACUGGGCGUAAAGGGCUCGUAGGUGGCCAACUAAGUCAGACGUGAAAUCCCUCGGCUUAACCGGGGAACUGCGUCUGAUACUGGAUGGCUUGAGUUUGGGAGAGGGACGCGGAAUUCCGGGUGUAGCGGUGAAAUGCGUAGAUAUCUGGAGGAACACCGGUGGCGAAGGCGGCGUCCUGGACCAACACUGACACUGAGGCGCGAAAGCUAGGGGAGCAAACAGG
Molecule: ribosomal RNA, 253 nt
Filed under: uncultured bacterium
Lineage: Bacteria
Description: partial 16S ribosomal RNA
Rfam family: Bacterial small subunit ribosomal RNA
Source: RNAcentral